This 425-nucleotide ribosomal RNA is filed under the name uncultured bacterium. RNAcentral's name for it is "partial 16S ribosomal RNA". It matches the Rfam family "Bacterial small subunit ribosomal RNA", at positions 354 to 796 of the family's 1533-position model. The record is from RNAcentral.
GUGGGGAAUAUUGGACAAUGGGCGCAAGCCUGAUCCAGCCAUGCCGCGUGAGUGAUGAAGGCCUUAGGAUUGUAAAGCUCUUUCACCGGUGAAGAUAAUGACGGUAACCGGAGAAGAAGCCCCGGCUAACUUCGUGCCAGCAGCCGCGGUAAUACGAAGGGGGCUAGCGUUGUUCGGAAUCACUGGGCGUAAAGGGCGCGUAGGCGGACUUUUAAGUCGGAGGUGAAAGCCCAGGGCUCAACCCUGGAAUUGCCUUCGAUACUGGGAGUCUUGAGUUCGGAAGAGGUUGGUGGAACUGCGAGUGUAGAGGUGAAAUUCGUAGAUAUUCGCAAGAACACCGGUGGCGAAGGCGGCCAACUGGUCCGAAACUGACGCUGAGGCGCGAAAGCGUGGGGAGCAAACAGGAUUAGAUACCCGGGUAGUCC